Molecule: ribosomal RNA, 238 nt
Filed under: uncultured Lactobacillus sp.
Lineage: Bacteria; Bacillati; Bacillota; Bacilli; Lactobacillales; Lactobacillaceae
Description: partial 16S ribosomal RNA
Rfam family: Bacterial small subunit ribosomal RNA
Source: RNAcentral
CCGUGCCCAAGAGAUCGGGAUAACACCUGGAAACAGAUGCUAAUACCGGAUAACAACAGAUGAUGCCUAUCAACUGUUUAAAAGAUGGUUCUGCUAUCACUCUUGGAUGGACCUGCGGUGCAUUAGCUAGUUGGUAGGGUAACGGCCUACCAAGGCGAUGAUGCAUAGCCGAGUUGAGAGACUGAUCGGCCACAUUGGGACUGAGACACGGCCCAGACUCCUACGGGAGGCAGCAGCC